Long non-coding RNA from Daphnia pulex (common water flea), 772 nucleotides. RefSeq lists it as uncharacterized. NCBI's taxonomy places the organism in Eukaryota, Metazoa, Arthropoda, Branchiopoda, Diplostraca, Daphniidae. The transcript has 3 exons. The record is from RefSeq and is a predicted model, not a curated record.
UUUCACAUUUUUUUUACUUUUUUUAUUAAAACGAAAUUUUCAUUUCGACGAACCGAAAAAGGGUAAAAGCUUCGGUUGCCGGGGGCUAGUAAAGGCACCGGAAAAUCGCUAAAUCUAAACGGCGGAUCUCUUUUUCAUUCGCUAUUUUUAGGAACGGGUGGGCGGGAGUGUUUCUUUCGUUCAACAGCUGUUUCUGUUGAAGUUUUCAGAAGAAGAAGAAGAAGAUGAAUCUGCUGUACUUUAUGUAUGGGGGUGGUCGCUCAUCAAGUUUCUUAUUGCUCCGAGUGGAAUCGAUCGUUUUACUUUGCGCUAAUUAGCGCACACAGAGCCAAGGGAGGGCCUAAACUUAACUCACGAGACACGAGCCCGUGGAGGAGGAGCAAAUGAACAAUAAUGGCCACUGCGUCUCUCUACGCUCUAAAAAUAAGUUGGAAACUAUCAUCAAGGGACGACUCUGCUGAGGAGAGGACCGGAAGAUAAUAACAUCAUAACAAGCGAGGUCUGACUAUAUAGGAAACACACUCGGCUUGUUAUUAUUACACGACCCAGGAGUUGACGAGCAGCGCUGCGCUUCUCUCUCGCCAUCAAUUAAUUCACCAAGUUCGAUCGACCCAAUGAAAAGCGCAACCUUCGUUUUUCUCUUCUCAUCUUCGAUAUAGAAAUUAGCCCCGGGUGACGGCCAGAGAGGGAGGAGAAAGAAGACUUGAUUGGAUCAAUAAGGAGCUCUAGUUAGUUAGCUCCUAAAUAAGAAAGAAACCAAGUUGACUGACCU